GUUUAUGGCCAUACCACCCUGAACACACCCGAUCUCGUCUGAUCAGAAGCUAAGCAGGGCCAGGCCUGGUUAGUAUCUGGAUGGAGGAUAUCAAGCAAUAACAAAUGCUAGAGGGGCUGUGGAAG
Molecule: ribosomal RNA, 125 nt
Organism: Cavia porcellus (domestic guinea pig)
Lineage: Eukaryota; Metazoa; Chordata; Mammalia; Rodentia; Caviidae
Source: Ensembl